RNAcentral lists this unclassified non-coding RNA (617 nucleotides) under Hevea brasiliensis (rubber tree). Lineage: Eukaryota; Viridiplantae; Streptophyta; Magnoliopsida; Malpighiales; Euphorbiaceae. The record is from RNAcentral.
UCAGCAGGUACAUCAGUGAUUUCAACUGGAUACAGUACGUGUUUCUCCCUUUGAUUGACAGGAUGUUGCUCCCUUUCUUCACGCUUCUGCUCAACCUCGUAACACUUAUCACAAAUCUGAAAAUUUUUGCACUGGUUGCAAACCCAGCGGUUUCCAGAUACCAUUAAAAUACAACAGUGGGUGCAGCAAUGCUGUAAAUGAACCAUGAUAAAAUCUUCCUUGUCUUCCUUCAUUGGGCAUAUUGUCUCACCAAGUUUAUGCAUUAGUAGCAGAUCCUUCGACGCGUUACCAGAAAGAUCUGACUGACCAGAAGCUUUUAGAGCCCUUUUUGUAAUGGUCUUUUUGGUAGUUCCCUUCUUGUUCUGUUUUCUGCCAUCUUCUUCUUGGUUAAGCUGAUAAAUUAAAUCCUCCGCAGCACCAGGCCAAUAGUCACCAUCAAAGUAUGGUAACCUUGCUGCCGUUACCUUUGCUUUACAUUCACCAGUAGAUACAAAGAAAUGAUCAUAUAAAUUAGUUAGCUCAACCACAAUAUUUUCCUUAGUAGCUUUUCUCAGCAUUGACAAAUACCACUCCCGGAGUUUGUCAGAUUUUGGUGUUUUCUGGAUUUCUGGAUGACA